UUAAGCGAAUAAGCGUACACGGUGGAUGCCUAGGCAAUCAGAGGCGAUGAAGGACGUGCUAAUCUGCGAUAAGCGUCGGUAAGGUGAUAUGAACCGUUAUACCCGACGAUUUCCGAAUGGGGAAACCCAAUAUCCAAUGGAUAUUAUCAUUAACUGAAUACAUAGGUUAAUGAAGCGAACCGGGAGAACUGAAACAUCUCAGUACCCCGAGGAAAAGAAAUCAACCGAGAUUCCCCUAGUAGCGGCGAGCGAACGGGGAACAGCCCAGAGUCUUAAUCAACAGCAGCAUCAGGAGAACGGUCUGGAAAGUCCGGCAGUAAAGGGUGAUAGCCCCGUAUCCGAAGAUGCUGUUAUUGUGAACUCGACGAGUAGGGCGGGACACGUGUUAUCCUGUCUGAAUAUGGGGGGACCAUCCUCCAAGGCUAAAUACUCCUGAUUGACCGAUAGUGAACCAGUACCGUGAGGGAAAGGCGAAAAGAACCCCGGCGAGGGGAGUGAAAAAGAACCUGAAACCGUGUACGUACAAGCAGUAGGAGCCCCACCACUAAGCUAGUGGUGAACUCACAGCGAUUCUUUUGCAUGAUAAAGAGCGGUAGACGACGCGAAGUGACGUCCAACCAAUCCAAUCAGGCAGAGGAGGCUUAGUGGUGGGGUGACUGCGUACCUUUUGUAUAAUGGGUCAGCGACUUAUAUUCUGUAGCAAGGUUAACCGAAUAGGGGAGCCGUAGGGAAACCGAGUCUUAACUGGGCGAAUGAGUUGCAGGGUAUAGACCCGAAACCCGGUGAUCUAUCCAUGGGCAGGUUGAAGGUUGGGUAACACUAACUGGAGGACCGAACCGACUAAUGUUGAAAAAUUAGCGGAUGACUUGUGGAUGGGGGUGAAAGGCCAAUCAAACCGGGAGAUAGCUGGUUCUCCCCGAAAGCUAUUUAGGUAGCGCCUCGUGAACUCAUCUUCGGGGGUAGAGCACUGUUUCGACUAGGGGGUCAUCCCGACUUACCAACUCGAUGCAAACUGCGAAUACCGAAGAAUGUUAUCACGGGAGACACACGGCGGGUGCUAACGUCCGUCGUGAAGAGGGAAACAACCCAGACCGCCAGCUAAGGUCCCAAAGUCAUGGUUAAGUGGGAAACGAAGUGGGAAGGCUCAGACAGCCAGGAUGUUGGCUUAGAAGCAGCCAUCAUUUAAAGAAAGCGUAAUAGCUCACUGGUCGAGUCGGCCCGCGCGGAAGAUGUAACGGGGCUAAACCAUGCACCGAAGCUGCGGCAGCAACACUAAGUGUUGUUGGGUAGGGGAGCGUUCUGUAAGCCUGCGAAGGUGUACUGUGAGGUAUGCUGGAGGUAUCAGAAGUGCGAAUGCUGACAUAAGUAACGAUAAUGCGGGUGAAAAACCCGCACGCCGGAAGACCAAGGGUUCCUGUCCAACGUUAAUCGGGGCAGGGUGAGUCGACCCCUAAGGCGAGGCUGAAAAGCGUAGUCGAUGGGAAACGGGUUAAUAUUCCCGUACUGGUGGUAACUGCGAUGGGGGAACGGAGAAGGCUAGGUUGUCCGGGCGACGGUCGUCCCGGUUCAAGCAUGUAGGCAGAGUGAUUAGGCAAAUCCGGUCACUUAAUGCUGAGGUGUGAUGACGAACCACUAAGGUGGUGAAGCAAUUGAUGCCCUGCUUCCAGGAAAAGCCUCUAAGCUUCAGGUUACCAACAAUCGUACCCCAAACCGACACAGGUGGUCAGGUAGAGAAUACUCAGGCGCUUGAGAGAACUCGGGUGAAGGAACUAGGCAAAAUGGUGCCGUAACUUCGGGAGAAGGCACGCUGGCGGUAAGUGAAGUCCCUUGCGGACGGAGCCGAAGCCAGUCGAAGAUACCAGCUGGCUGCAACUGUUUAUUAAAAACACAGCACUGUGCAAACACGAAAGUGGACGUAUACGGUGUGACGCCUGCCCGGUGCUGGAAGGUUAAUUGAUGGGUUAUCCUUAGGGAGAAGCUCUUGAUCGAAGCCCCAGUAAACGGCGGCCGUAACUAUAACGGUCCUAAGGUAGCGAAAUUCCUUGUCGGGUAAGUUCCGACCUGCACGAAUGGCGUAAUGAUGGCCAGGCUGUCUCCACCCGAGACUCAGUGAAAUUGAACUCGCUGUGAAGAUGCAGUGUACCCGCGGCAAGACGGAAAGACCCCGUGAACCUUUACUAUAGCUUGACACUGAACAUUGAGCCUUGAUGUGUAGGAUAGGUGGGAGACUAUGAAAUGUGGACGCCAGUCUGCAUGGAGUCAACCUUGAAAUACCACCCUUUAACGUUUGAUGUUCUAACCUAGGCCCGUAAUCCGGGUCGGGGACCGUGUCUGGUGGGUAGUUUGACUGGGGCGGUCUCCUCCUAAAGAGUAACGGAGGAGCACGAAGGUUGGCUAAGCAUGGUCGGACAUCAUGCGGUUAGUGCAAAGGCAUAAGCCAGCUUGACUGUGAGAGUGACGGCUCGAGCAGGUACGAAAGUAGGUCUUAGUGAUCCGGUGGUUCUGAAUGGAAGGGCCAUCGCUCAACGGAUAAAAGGUACUCCGGGGAUAACAGGCUGAUACCGCCCAAGAGUUCAUAUCGACGGCGGUGUUUGGCACCUCGAUGUCGGCUCAUCACAUCCUGGGGCUGAAGUAGGUCCCAAGGGUAUGGCUGUUCGCCAUUUAAAGUGGUACGCGAGCUGGGUUUAGAACGUCGUGAGACAGUUCGGUCCCUAUCUGCCGUGGGCGUUGGAAGAUUGAGAGGGGUUGCUCCUAGUACGAGAGGACCGGAGUGAACGCACCACUGGUGUUCGGGUUGUCAUGCCAAUGGCAUUGCCCGGUAGCUAAGUGCGGAAGAGAUAACCGCUGAAAGCAUCUAAGCGGGAAACUUGCCUCGAGAUGAGUCUUCCCUGUCACCUUGAGUGACCUAAAGGAACGUUUAAGACUAAGACGUUGAUAGGCUGGGUGUGUAAGCGUAGCGAUACGUUGAGCUAACCAGUACUAAUGAACCGUGAGGCUUAACCUG
RNAcentral lists this ribosomal RNA (3004 nucleotides) under Proteus vulgaris. Its description in RNAcentral is "23S ribosomal RNA". It matches the Rfam family "Bacterial large subunit ribosomal RNA". Lineage: Bacteria; Pseudomonadati; Pseudomonadota; Gammaproteobacteria; Enterobacterales; Morganellaceae. The record is from RNAcentral.